Molecule: long non-coding RNA, 2739 nt
Filed under: Sus scrofa (pig)
Lineage: Eukaryota; Metazoa; Chordata; Mammalia; Artiodactyla; Suidae
Description: lncRNA (ENSSSCG00005012674.1)
Source: RNAcentral
GCAAUUCUCUUUUUUCUUUUUCUUUUCUUUUUUUCUUUUUGCGGUUUGUUUAUUGCCUGUCUCCUCCGCCUCAAGACACAGACCCACAAGGACAGGGCUGUGCCGCUCUCCUUCAGCACUGUAGCCCCAACAUCACUGUAGCCCCAGCAUCGGUCCCAGUGCCUGGCCCCUCGUAGGUCUCUGUAAGGGUUUGUCCAAUGAAUCAACGUAACAAUAUGAAAUGAUUUGGGAUGAGUUGUGAUAUGUUGCUGGAUGGUGGAUCUGUGAAUUAGUGGUGUGGGUGGCGUAACUGAGAAUAUCAUGGAAGGCAAGUACUCUCCUUUCCUGUAAACCGUUGCCUGGUGGAGAGGACAGCGGGCAGGAGGAUCACUCUGCCCUCUGCAGUGUCCCCACUAGGCUCGUGGUCCUGAACGCCACGGGGCCUCACCCAGGCUUCUUCCUUGUCACAACCUCACCUCCCAACCUUCCGAAGGCAUUGGGCUCCCUGGAUGUUAGAGCUGAUGGGACCCCAGAGCUUCCAGAGAUGGCUCCACACCACGGUCACCUGGGGGACCUUUCAAAACUAUUCGUGGACCCUGCCGGGAACUUAGGUCCUGACCCUGCCACACACUGUGUGAGCUUGGGAAAUUUACUUAACCUCUCUGUGCCUUGAUUUCUUCACCUCUUAAAUGGAAAUAACAACAAUGCCAACCUCAGAGAUUUGCUGUACGGAUCCACGUCAACAGUGUAGGUGAAGCUCUUGGUGCAGUGCCUGACUCAGUACCUCCUGAAUCAACAUGGCUCUUGGUGCAGUGCCUGACUCAGUACCUCCUGAAUCAACGUGGCUAUUAUUGUACCAAUUAUCUCACCACUAGUUAGCGGCCGAUGUGGGGCGAGCAUCCAAGCCUCCUGAUCCUGGAUCCAGUGUUCUUUCCAACACGUCACUCUGAAUGUGCACGCAGCCUUCCCUCUGAGGCCAGGCUCGAGGGCCACAGAGGGGGCAUGUGGCUGCUGCCUUGGGACCCUUUAGUCAAACCGAAUGGAAGAGAGAACUGCAUCUGAGAACAAAGGGCAGAUCUGACCCACGGGGAACAGACGGCUUGAGAGUGUGGGAGUCGCAGGCAGUUUUUCGGUCCUUUGGGAAGCCCGCUGGCUGCUCCUGUUAGUAUUCCACCGUGGAAAUAUUGGGAACCAAAAAUAGAUGUUCUUGAGGGGAGCUUAAUCCUCUGGGCUUUCCAAAACAGCUGCUGGAGAGUUCCAGGAACCAACCACCAGGGGGCAUGACCAUCCCAUGCGCUUGGUGGCUGGUGAGCCAGAACUGGUGGGAAGUUUCCAUGAAACUCCCAACACCCUCCCACAGCCUCACACCCCAGCCUUGUCCUGAUCAGGACCCCGUGGCUGGGAUCCCCACAGAUCAGCAGCUCUGUGUCCUAAGGAAACUGUUUUGCAACUCAGCCCAUGGCUCUCCGCCUCGGGGACCCUUAAGAGCAGCAAGAGGUCUUGCAUCUAUUUUCUUGGCUUCUCCCCUGCACCCCUCCCCCAGGACUAGCCCAGCGCUGGAUACACAGCAGGCACGUGUUGGUUGGAAGAGGAACGUAGGAAGUCCGGUGUAAUGAAUGAAUUAUGGAAAGGAAACCACCCCCGUUUGGGGGAUGGUGAGAGCGGCGAGUGCAUCUCAGCCUGGGGGAGAGAAGGAUAAUUUAAAAAACACCAGGAGUUCCUGUCAUGGCUCAGUGGUUUACGAAUCCGACUAGGAACCAUGAGGUUGCGGGUUCAAUUCCUGGCCUCGCUCAGUGGGUUAAGGAUCCGGCGUUGCCGUGAGCUGUGGUGUAGGUUGCAGACCAGCGGCUACAGCUCCGAUUCCACCCCUAGCCUAGGAACCUCCACAUGCUGUGGGAGCGGCCCUAGGAAUGGCAAAAAGACAAAAAUAAAUAAAUAAAUAAAUAAAAAUAAAUAAAAAAUAAAAAAAACACCAUUGCUCCACGGAGCAUGCUGGGUACCAUCUUGGCAGGGAGGGAGCCAGGGAAACUUCCUUGGUGAGAUGACUUCUAAGCCAGGAUAAGGUUUUGCAGGGGAUGUGGCCAAGGGGUAGGAGGAUUCCGGGCAGAGAGGACAGCAUGGGCAAGGGGCUAGGGGAGAUUGUGAGUGAGGCACCUUCUAGAACUGAAGUCAUCUAACUUCUGGAGUGUGGGGCAGGCUCCAGCCCCAGGGGAAGUGAAAGCUGGGGGCGGGGGACAAGCUGCACCACAGCGGGUACCCCUAGGCACACCUGGCAUUAGGCCUCUGGCAGCAAGACUGCUGUCCAGGCGGUACCCUGGGGAGGGCAUGGUUCCCUGUGCCCCUGGGCCUGUGGGGGAAUCUCCAGGGCCUCUGGGGAACCAGAGAGUCUGAGCUCUUGGAGGCAGAUUCCAUCAGGGGAGCUGAGUUACUGCUCAUGGUCCUGGGCUGAGCAGCUAGUGUCCAGGGAGGGGAGGGGAGGAAGCUGUAGCUGUCACCCUGACUCCUUCAACCCCAGGCUGUUGCCAGGACCCUGCACACACAACUAAAGGUUUCUUAUCACCUCGGUUCAUGAACCUGCUGGGAAGACUGAGAAGCCAGUCCUCUGGUGGGGGUGGAAUGGAAUGGGGAAAUGAGAAGGUGACACCCUUGGUGUCAGGAGUCCGCUCACAUGUCACAUGUCACAUCUGCAUCCCAUGCAUGCUACAUACACUACCGAGCCUGAGCCUAGCGCCAAGCUUGUGAAGUGGGUACUUCAGCACU